UACAGAGGUAGCAAACGUUGUCCGGAUUCACUGGGCGUAAAGGGAUCGUAGGCGGUCAUUUAAGUCAGGUGUGAAAUCGUUCAGCUCAACUGAACAAUCGCAUUUGAUACUGAUUGGCUUGAGUGCAGAAGGGGAAACUGGAAUUUCCGGUGUAGCGGUGAAAUGCGUAGAUAUCGGAAAGAACACCCGUGGCGAAGGCGGGUUUCUGGUCUGCAACUGACGCUGAGGAUCGAAAGCUAGGGGAGCAAACGGG
Molecule: ribosomal RNA, 253 nt
Filed under: uncultured bacterium
Lineage: Bacteria
Description: partial 16S ribosomal RNA
Rfam family: Bacterial small subunit ribosomal RNA
Source: RNAcentral